CGGGAAAGAAGGCCGUUUCGGGUUAGUAAACCGCUUUUGGUCGGGAAGGAAAAGGGUUACAGGUUAAUAGGUCCUGGAUUGUUGACGGUACCGGCAGAAUAAGCACCGGCUAACUACGUGC
Molecule: ribosomal RNA, 121 nt
Filed under: uncultured bacterium
Lineage: Bacteria
Description: partial 16S ribosomal RNA
Source: RNAcentral